UGCCUGUGGUCCCAGCUACUCAGGAAGCUGAGGCAGGAAGAAGUAGUUCAGGGGCAGAAUGGGCAACAUAGGGAGACACUGCCUAAAAAAGAAGAAAUAAAAAGAAGUAAUAGAAUAAUUACAAUAGAAUUAAAAGAAGAAAAAAGAAGUAAUAGAUCUGAGUCUAUUGUCUUGGAAAGCUCAUCAAGAGGCCGGAAGAACUCAGCCCCAUGAUCUCUUGGACAGGACGAGGAGAGUCUGUCGCCCCUGUGUAGGUGGGGC
This 261-nucleotide long non-coding RNA is filed under the name Fukomys damarensis (Damara mole-rat). Its description in RNAcentral is "lncRNA (ENSFDAG00000032789.1)". The record is from RNAcentral. Lineage: Eukaryota; Metazoa; Chordata; Mammalia; Rodentia; Bathyergidae.